Molecule: non-coding RNA, 210 nt
Filed under: Salimicrobium flavidum
Lineage: Bacteria; Bacillati; Bacillota; Bacilli; Caryophanales; Bacillaceae
Description: T-box sequence
Rfam family: T-box leader
About the family: Uncharged tRNA acts as the effector for transcription antitermination of genes in the T-box leader family.
Source: RNAcentral
AUAAAAGCUUGGAUAGAGCAAAGUAAAUAGUUACGGAAUCGGCUUAAGGGAAGAAGCGCCAGGGACUGGGAGCGUUUCUGCCGUGGUGACUGUUGAAAUUUCACUCUUGAGCUGACACCCAGGUGUCCGGAUGAUGAUCCGUUAUUCACAUAAAGUGGGCACUUUAGUGUCAACAAGGGUGGUACCGCGACCAUUAGCCUCGUCCCUUUU